UGACAGCAAAAUUCUGCAUGUUUUUGUUUACAAAUCUUAAUUUCAACAGUUUAAUGCACAAUGUAUAUCAGAUAUAGAACAAAAUUAUCAAAAUGAUAAGUAUCUACAGACAUGAAACACUAUACAUAUGAAGCGUUGGAAGAAAUACAUGUAUGUUCAUAAAUUCACUCGAUAAAGAUAUCAUGGGAGCAAUGACUACCAAGUCAAGCAACAACAAAAAUUGAAACAUGUGCAGCGAGCAACCAGGAUGGCUAUUCCUAUUCACAACAAAUCCAUAAACAGCAACACCAACACUACCUAAUCUAGCUAAGCUCAUGAAUUCAACCGCCAGAGUCGCUGGCGACAACGCCCAAUCUCUACUUUGGCAAGGAACAUUCUCUUGAGUCUGAAAUGCCAAUACAGCAGCAGCAACCCAAUUUCAACCAAGCUCCAUCCAUCCAUAAUCUCGCCUUCCCUCCACAGGAUUGAACAAAAUCAAAGGUGUUUGCAAGUCCACCAUCUCCUCUCCUGUAAACGACCACGACUUGCAGCCUUUUCUUUUCUUUCUAUACAUCUGAUCUCCUCUCCUGUAUUAUUAUUCAAAGAACCAAGUCAAGCCUCUCCAGUCAACAACAGUAAGCAAACAAAGGUGAUGCCUAAAAAGUGAGAAAUCUCCAACUUUAGACAUAGGGAGUUAUCUUCUCGUGUGAAGAAUGCAAGCAUUUUUUUUUUCUUGUCGGAAGAUGAACGGUUUACGAUUCCACAAGUAACUAACGACGGUUCGGAAUUAUGAUAGUCCACAUCCCAGAAAUAAGCAAAGUACCAAACUGACAACACCAGUAGAUGCUAGAUAACACAAGUACUACACCUCCGUCCGGAAUUACAUGACGCUCAAACGGAUGUAUCUAGCACUAUCUGUUUGAGCGUCGAGGAAUUUCGGGCGGAGGGAGUAGAUAGAUAACUAUUAAACAGAGAAGGAACUACCAUGAGAGGUAAAUAUUAUGAAGACACUUGACCUUGAAAAUCUGAGAGAGAGAGAGAGAGCAACCUGCAGCACCCAUGUUGGGUUGUACGUGAUGGUCAAAGGAGUUGUGCGACAAAGUAGGCGACCGCAUCCAGCGCCACCGGUAGCUAGUCAGAAGAAACAAUAAUUAGGCUAAGAGGUUCAUCACAAUUACUCAUUUUUGUAUUUGUAAAUUAGAUAAACACCAUAUGGCAAAAAAACAGGUUAAUGAUCAUUCAAGUUCGGUAAAUACACUAUCGGAACAGGUUAUUGAUUUGCAUUCGCAAAUCGUGAGUCACCCACACCACAAAAGACUUGUAUGAAUUAAACACAGGAAAUGCUGAUUAAAUAAAAUAUAGACAACCCUCUCAAAGUUUAGAUUGCAGAUAACUAUUUCAGCAAGUGAUCUAGCAGGCUAACGUUACAAAUUUCUGAUUAGGUAAACUAGUCGCCAACCUGUGCAACCUGCACGGGCUAGUUACUUGGUUUAAAUGAGGAAUUAUAUUGGAUAUACAAAGAGAUAUUAUAUAUAAACAUAGAUAAAAGAUGGAACCAUUUUUUUUUUGUAUUAGACUCAUGUGGUACAUAAUUCUUUAUGAUCCAUUAGUUCCAAAAUUACAUAACACACAUACUUACAUGGCAAAACUAUGAUUGAUUUUGCGAAGGCAGAUGCGCAACGCCCAUUUUAAGUCCUCCUAGGGAGACUACAAUCUCGAUAUAUUGUUUCAAGGUACUUACUCCCAGAGUUCCCAAACCCAGUCUGCGUAACUAAACAUUUAUUUAGGAAUUAUCAAAAAAACUUCUGCGGUCUAAAAUGAAAAUUCACUUUACAAACUAAAAGAUAAGUGAUACUUAACUGAAUAGAAUAGUGCGCUUUUUGACACCACAUCAGGGGAACAAUCACUUGAACGACACCUUUCUCACUGAAUAAUCUUGGAAUAAUCAACUUUGUGUUAAUAUUCACAAAGUCAUAGACAUAAAGUAAAAAAAUAAUAACGCUAAAUACAGAUUAGGAGAAGACAGGCAAUAUCUAUCUUACUUAUCGGUGUUUCAUAUUACAUUAUUGUCGUGAGAAGUUCAAAAGGGAUUGAAAUCCCCUCAACUGACCUCAGUUGAAGUCACUAAAAGCAUUUGCGGUAACCUCUUUCUCAGUCAUCCAGUAACACCAGACAAGGAAAUAGAACACGUGUGCAAAUAAUAGUGGCGGCGAUACAAAUUGACAACAGUUUAAAAAAAUCAAGUGAAAAAUAAGCUAAGGCACAUGCGAUGCGCUUUUUUGGAGGCAAAAAUUAUUACUUUAUUUUGUUGUAGAAGAAUGCAUAUAAAAAUCAAGAAAAUCGUUUUCUUUGUGUGAUGAGAUUCUCCUGCAAAUCAUCUAACAGAAAGCCUUAGUUUCCGACUUCUAUUUUAACUUCAUUGUUAUCUUAUAAUAACCAAUUCAACAUUUAUGGGACAUGUAACAAACCUACUCGGGACUGAGCGUUUGAUGAUAUCCCUUUUCCAAGUGAAGUUAUCUUAAGUCCUACGGAAAAUACAGUAUGCAAGAAUGAGCUAUAGAAACAAUUCUCAAAUCAUUGACGUUAGCAAGAGCAACAACCUUAAAAAAAUGACCCCAUAUAUACAGCAUCUGGAUAGCUCGUUCGGCAAGAAACACAUAGAAAAACAGCAUGCGAGUCAUUUAGUGGAUUAUACAUCGAGAGUGAACCUUACUUCUAAAACUAACAUAAAAAUCUCCUUGUUUCCCUUUGUCCUGCAUCCAUCAAUGUCGUCACUUGACAACCGAAUAUAUCCAUUAACUCGAUCAUACUUUCAGAACUGUAUAUAUCAAGUUUCAAACACCAAUCAGUUUCUGAACUUCAAGUAGUGAGAUAGGCAAUUAGAACAGACGCUCGUUCCUUCGCUCGUUCGGCAAGAACACAUAUGAAAACAGCAAGCAAGCCAUAUAAUGGAUUAUACUUCGAUAGUGAACUUGACUUCUAAAAUUAACAUUAAAAAAUCACUUUGUUUUCCUUGUUUUCUGCAUCCAUCAAUGUCGCUUGGCAACCAAAAAUAUCGAUUAACUCAUUCAUACUUUCAGAACUUUAUAUCUCAAGUUUCAGACACAUAUUAGUAUCUGAACUUCGAUUGAUGCCAUAGCAAAUUAGAACAGACACUCGUUGUGAACCAAAUUGGAUAAACUGUUGCACAAAAAUCAGAAAUAUGUAUGCAUAACAUUACAUUUACCUAUUGAAACUGGUCUUUGGGCCGAAUCUUCAAAAAAAGGUAACAAAAAACUUCUAUGCGUAUGGGCAGUGAUAUAUAUUUUAAAUUAUCCAUGUAGUAUCCAACACCUCAUGGAUCCAGUGGAUAUGCCUACAGCACGAACAUGAAAAGAUUAACAGGGCGUGAGGACAACGAAUCAAUCCUAGGGAGAGGAGGGAUUGGAGUGGGGAGGCACCUUGAUCCGUGGAGAGGAAAAUAAGCACGCACUCCAUCACAGAUCCGUGGAAACGAUACCUCCGUCGCCGGCGUCCAUCGCCGGCCGGCUGGGCCCUCCAACCGCAAACCCUAACCCUAACAGAGGGGGAAGGAUGAGGGGUGAACAACAUGGACUGUUGGAUCCGCGGCCUGGGUAGGGAGGAAGGCGAGGGCGUGGAAGGGAGGGGGAGAGGGUGGGUGGCCGACGGUGGGUGGGGGCGGAGCCUUGUGGCAGCGGUGGGUGGAUGGGGAUUGGAUCACGGGAGGGAGGAGGCAGACGAGCUGAAAGAUGCGGGAGAGCAGGGGGUUUUAUUUUUUUUAUCUCAAAGUUGUACUUUUUG
RNAcentral lists this long non-coding RNA (3780 nucleotides) under Hordeum vulgare. Its description in RNAcentral is "long non-coding RNA (HVUL_LNC019850)". The record is from RNAcentral. Lineage: Eukaryota; Viridiplantae; Streptophyta; Magnoliopsida; Poales; Poaceae.